Molecule: small nuclear RNA, 103 nt
Organism: Chionomys nivalis (European snow vole)
Lineage: Eukaryota; Metazoa; Chordata; Mammalia; Rodentia; Cricetidae
Source: RefSeq, a predicted model, not a curated record
UUGCUUUAGCAGCGCAUAUACUAAAACUAGAACAAUACAGAGAGGAUUAGCAUGGCUCCUAUGCAAGGACGACACACAAAUUUGUGAAGCAUUCCAUAUUUAA